Piliocolobus tephrosceles (Ugandan red Colobus) is the source of this 3863-nucleotide long non-coding RNA. The record is from Ensembl. NCBI's taxonomy places the organism in Eukaryota, Metazoa, Chordata, Mammalia, Primates, Cercopithecidae.
CCUUAAUUGUAAUAUUAAUAAUAAUAUACCUGAAUGUCAUGUGGCAAAUGGUGUGCUUAUCAAAUUAUUAAACAAGUGUUUAUUUUGCUUGAAUUUUAAAACUUGUUUAAUAAAUAAAAACAAAGGAAGUGAUGAUAAAGAUAAAUAUUUUUAUAUUCAGAUCGUGCAAGAUAAGGGAAGUGAUGCUGACAAUGCAGCUAACAAAAAUGCAGCUAACAAAAAUGCAGCUAACAAAAAUGCAGCUAACAACAAUGAAACUAACAACAAUGAAACUAACAACAAUGAAACUAACAAAAAUGCAGCUAACAAAAAUGCAGCUAACAGCAAUGGAACUAACAGCAAUGGAACUAAGUUUAAUAAGACAAAAGACGAAGGAGUAAUGACAAAUGGGGAAACAACAAAUAACGAUGAAAAAGAUGAAGAAAUAAAGUUUUUUACUUUUUAUAACAAAAGAAUAGUUCAACAUGCACCAAAUCCUAACAAUAUGAGAGACGGAUUUGUGAAUAAUAGCAGUAGUAGUGCACACGUUACAAAUAGAGGGGAACACCAAGAUAUUCAUAACAAUAACCAGACAAACCAAAAUAGUAGUAAAUGCUUUUAUUUUAGUAAGAAUAUGAAAAUAAUAUCGUUAAUAGAUAUUUAUAAAAUUAGUUGGUGUUUAUGUGUUUUAAAAAAAAAUGAUUUGUUUAUAGAUUUAUUACGCAUUUUUUUUAAUGAAAUAGAAAGUAUGACGAUUGUAAAAGAAUUUAUUUUUUGCAUUUUGUAUCUUUUUAAGUUUUGUGAUAUUUUAGAACUAAACGAAUGUAAACGUUAUUUGAAUAAUAAUAUAGAUAUAAAUAUCGAGAAUAAUAAUUUUGAAAAUAUAUGUAUGUAUAUGCAUUUGUUACAUAUAUGCUCGUUAAAUAAUGACAAAACAGAGUUGUCUAUUAUUCACAGAAAAAACAUUGAUAAAAUUAUAACUUAUUUUUAUGAUAAUAUAGAAAAUAUAAAUAUAUAUGUAUGUACCAAUAUAUUGUGUGUUUUAGCUAAUUUAAAUAUAAAAAAUAAUGAUUAUCCAUACUUUUUUAAUAAGGUAUUAAAUUAUUUAAAAACUAAUAUAAAAAAAAUGAACAAAGGAGUAUUACUAAUUAAUGUGUUAUGGUCUUUAUGUAUUAUUGAGGUUACGUGUGCUGUUUUUUUUAAAGACUUAAGUGAAUAUAUUAUAAACAUAUUGCAUUGCAUUUCUUUAUAUGAUUUUAUAACUAUUUGUUGUUGCUUUGGAUGUCAAAAAAUGCUUGUUAUAAAAAACUUUUUUGAUUUUGAAAAAAAAACAAAAGAGUUGAAACUUAAUAAAAGAGAGAGCAAAUAUAUCAAGGCAGGUAAACGUAGUAGUAUUACUACUACUACUACUAAUGAACUUACUAGUGGUAACAAAGAAAUAAAUUUAAACGACUAUCAAAGUGAUUACGCAAAAUAUGAAUCAUCUAUUAAUAAUUAUUAUGAAAAAAAAAAAAUAUUUCCUUCUUAUUUUUAUCAAAAACGUACAUCUCAAACAAUCAUAUUUAAAAUACUAACUUACAAUUUUUUGCAUCAUGAACAAAAUGUAGAAAUGGAUGAUGACAUACGAGUGGGAACAGACAGAGAAAGUGACUACAACCUGAAUAUGACAAAUGGAACCAUGGAAGGGAAUAAUAUCUUUAAUGUGAAUAUGAAUCAUGUUAGUAAAUACAGGGAUAAUGAUACUAGAAAUAAAACAGGAACUAGUACUAUUAUAAAUAAUGAAAAUACUCCAUUUUUUAAACAAGAGUUAGUAAAAAGAAAAUCAAAUCGAAGUCUAAGUCUUAGUGGUGAUAACCAAAAUAAAAAAAAAAACGAAGUGUACAAAGGUGAAGAAUUUAUAUACCCAAACCUUGCUCGUUUUAACAGUUCGAACAUAUAUAAUAGUAACAAUAAUAAUAAUAACAAUAAUAAUAAUAAUAACAAUAAUAGUAAUAACAAUAAUAGUAAUAACAAUAAUAGUAAUAACAAUAAUAGUAAUAACAAUAAUAGUAAUAACAAUAAUAAUAGUAAUAACAAUAAUAAUAGUAAUAAUAAUGAGGAUGUUGCAAGUGAUAUAAAUUUUUAUAACAAUAAUAAUAAUUUGGAAGAGAAGAAGAAGAAGAAAAAGAAGGAUGCUUAUCUGAUGAGUGCUAAACAUGGUAAUAAAAACGAAUUACAUAUGUAUAACAAUAUAAACAACCCAAAGAAUCCUAACGUACCUACGUACGAAACACAAAACAGUGCAAAUAAAAAUAAAAAAUACAUUAAAAACUAUAAUGAUAACAAAAAUAAAAAAAAAAUUAAAGAAUAUUAUAAUGUAUAUGAUCGAAGUCAUAAUUAUAAUUUUACUUUGGACUCAUGUCAACGAAUAUUGUUUACCAAUUUAAUAGAAGAUUGUUGUAAUAACUUUGAAAAAAUAAAAAGUAUUUAUUUAAUUGAGUUGUUGUAUACUUUGUGUGUUCUAAAUCUGGACAAAGAAAAAUUAGUAAAAAUAAUUGAAAAAAAAAAAAAAAGUAGUCAUAUCGGGAAAAGCUACAAUAGUACUAUUGGUAGUAGCAACACAAAUCUUGAAAAUAGCAUAUUCAAUAAUAAUUACCAAAAAGUAUUGAAAAAGAAAAAACAUUUAUAUAAAAAUUAUACAAACGAGGAUAUAAUUAACGAAAAAAACGAAUUAAUCAUUUUAAAUUAUAUAUAUAACCAAUAUGUAGAAGAAAAUAUAAAAAAAACAAAAAAUAUGAACAUUAUAGAAAACACAUUUUUAUCAUUUAUUGAUAAUAUUUAUUUUCAAAAAUAUAUAAAUGAUGAUUUGUUUUUAAAUAUUAUUAAAUCAAAAAAUACGGCAGAAGAAGUAUCAGGAAAAUUUGGAAAGUUUAGUAUAAUCAAAAAUAUUUUAAGUCCUUCGAAUUAUAAAGAGAAAGAUGUUGUUAGUGUAGUUACUACUACAACUACUGCUAGUUCACCACAAGAUAAAACAAACGGUACAUCUACAAACCUCAUAAACAAUAUUACCAACACAGGAGGAAAAGGUAGAAACUCGAGUAACUUUUCCCAAGCGAACAAUUUCUUAAAUAAAGAAGAACAACACAUGAAGUCUUUUUAUUUUACUCCAAAAAAUAAAAGUGAUGAAAAUUCCAGCCUUAGCUCUCAAACAAAUAAUAAAUCAAAUAUGUACCAUAAUUAUGAAACAAUGUACAGUUGUACUGGCUUUAAUAAAGACUUAAAAAAUACAUAUGAUGUUGCUACAACUGACUCUAACCAAAAAACAAAAACAAAAGAUACAACAAAAGAUAUGUUAUAUAAUGAAAAUACAAAUAACAAACAACAACUUUUAACCAAUAUGCAAGAGCCAGAAAAUUGUAUGAGCACAAAUAUGUAUAAAAGUAUAGUUACACAAAGAAAUAUACAAAAGUUAGUAGAUAAUUAUACCAAAAUUAAACUAACAAAAGAACAAACAAGUGGGGGGUCGUCAUCAGUUACCAAUUUGGACCAAGGAAACCCCAAAAGUAACAAUAGUAAUAAUUCAAAAAAUGUCAAUUCUUAUAAACUUUUCAUAUUAUCAUUAAAACUUUCGGUAUUUUUUUUGUUUGCAUUUGUAGUUAUAUUUGUCUACAUAUCUUUGAAGUAAGUUUAUAUAGGAAGGGUUUAUUAUAUGUAGUAGAAGGGUGGAAAAAAAAAAAAAAAAAAAAAAAAAAAAAAAAGGGAACCACUUGAGAGGAACUAUUGUACGUACGCCGAUUUUUUUAAUGUUUAUUAUAACACGUACAUUAUAACAUAUAUACAUAAAUGCACUACUGUUUUUUAGAAAUACAAGAUCAGAAUGUUAAUUAUUUAAAAAUGUCAAUUUA